GAUGAAGAACGUAGCGAAAUGCGAUAAGUAAUGUGAAUUGCAGAAUUCAGUGAAUCAUCGAAUCUUUGAACGCAUCUUGCGCUCCUUGGUAUUCUGAGGAGCAUGCCUGUUUGAGUGUCAUUAAAUUCUCAACUACACUGACUUUGAAUUGGUGUGGCUUGGAUUUGGGGGGAAAAUUGUUGUGGGCUUUUUGUAUAGUCUGCUCCCCUGAAAUUGAUUAGCGGUACCUUUGUGGAACUGUCUACAGGUGUGAUAAUUAUCUACAUCUUAGACAUCUGCUGGAAUGCUGCUCUCUAAACCUUACUUGUAUUGACAAUCUUGACCUCAAAUCAGGUAGGACUACCCGCUGAACUUAAGCAUAUCAAUAGCGGAGGA
This 375-nucleotide unclassified non-coding RNA is filed under the name soil metagenome. RNAcentral describes it as "partial contains 5.8S ribosomal RNA, internal transcribed spacer 2, and large subunit ribosomal RNA". The stretch from base 1 to 120 matches the Rfam family "5.8S ribosomal RNA", at positions 35 to 154 of the family's 154-position model. The record is from RNAcentral.